RNAcentral lists this long non-coding RNA (367 nucleotides) under Homo sapiens (human). RNAcentral's name for it is "non-protein coding lnc-MS4A8-17:12". Lineage: Eukaryota; Metazoa; Chordata; Mammalia; Primates; Hominidae. The record is from RNAcentral.
AUUCAGAUGGUUGGUAUGAUGCUUUUACAAUAUUUACUACUCUGCACCAUCUUAGAGAUGACCAUUGUAAUCAUAAUCAUCCAGUGGGUUGUAAGAGCAUUUCAUCAUGAAAAACACACUGAAGAAAGCACUUUGCCCUCGGAAAUCUCACUGUCGGAAUCCUUGGAAAUCACACCACGCACAACUUCUAUUUCUUCAUAAUUUGCAAAGAACCAGUGUGACUCCAGUCAAGAACAAAAGAUUAAUUGUGAAUUAGCGAAGAACUCUAAUUUUUUCAAGCAGCCACAUGGAAAACGCAUUCUAAUGAAAUCCUUUCCAUUGCUCUUUUUUCUUAGUUCUUCAAUAAAGCAUGCGAUUUGAUCACAAA